This 327-nucleotide ribosomal RNA is filed under the name Triticum aestivum (bread wheat). RNAcentral's name for it is "partial small subunit ribosomal RNA". Lineage: Eukaryota; Viridiplantae; Streptophyta; Magnoliopsida; Poales; Poaceae. The record is from RNAcentral.
AUGUGUUCUUGUAUGCACAAAGAAACACUCAUGGAGAGAAACUUAUUUUUUCUUCCCAGAAUACUAUCGAGACACCAUACUCCAUCUUAUUUAUUGAUGAUUUUCAGGGGUUCUCAUGCUUGUUUAUUCUGGAUUUCUCUGUCAGAACUGCUUGUGUGUCCAUCUGCGACAAUGGCUUCUGGUCAGUUUAUCUAUUUCUUUCUUUCCUUGCAGUGGCGGAGCUACAAAGAAAAGCCUGAGCAGGCCAAUCUAAAAAAUAUGAAAAAAUCAACCCAAGGAAAGGAUGAUGAGCUGCUGCUGAAAAGUCUUCCUCAACUCCAUCCGUAA